Molecule: ribosomal RNA, 301 nt
Filed under: uncultured bacterium
Lineage: Bacteria
Description: partial 16S ribosomal RNA
Rfam family: Bacterial small subunit ribosomal RNA
Source: RNAcentral
CAGCAGCCGCGGUAAUACGGAGGGGGCUAGCGUUGUUCGGAAUUACUGGGCGUAAAGCGCACGUAGGCGGCUUGGUAAGUUAGAGGUGAAAGCCUGGAGCUCAACUCCAGAAUUGCCUUUAAGACUGCCGAGCUAGCAGGUGAGAGAGGUAAGUGGAAUUCCGAGUGUAGAAGUGAAAUUCGUAGAUAUUCGGAAGAACACCAGUGGCGAAGGCGGCUUACUGGCUCACACUGGACGCUGAGGUGCGAAAGCGUGGGGAGCAAACAGGAUUAGAUACCCGCGUAGUCCCUGUCUCUUAUAC